UAUUACUAUUGAUAUAAUAUGUUGUAUAUGUAGCCUACAUUGCGUGUUUGCAUAAAAGAGCAGGUUAAUCCUUUUUUGAACAGGUUUGUUGAAAAAUCCUUCUCGAAAGAAUCGUAUUUCCAAAGUACUGUCAACUGACCACAUCUUCUUCCGCUUGUCAAAAUAGUUCUGCUCAGUUUGGUGUUUUAUUACGGAUUUAUUCUCAUAGUACCGUUUCAUAAUUUGAUAUAAUAAUAUAAUAAUAUGCUGAUAUUAAAAUUAAAAAAAAUAAAAAAUGUAAUAUUCGAACUGAAGGAAUUCCCGCCCUAGCGCAAGGACACAUUCUCCUCCAAGCACGCAGUGGAGCUGCUGCGCGCGCAGAAGGAAUAACUCGACCUUCAGUUUCACGGUCAAUCUUCAAUCUGAGGCGAAAAUAAGCAGAUAAGUUCAGUGAGUGCUAAAACCAUGGUCAACAUGAAAGGUCAUAGUUAACGACCACAUCACCAUCUUCUGCAACGCUCUGAUGUUUGCUUCAUACAACUGCUUGAACAUUUCAUACCCAGGAAACCAAGGAGAAACGCAAGAGAUUGUGCAAAGAUUCCUUUUUAAGAUGAACCCCGAGAAGGGAUCGAAAGUGGAGAAGACCACAUCGAGAAAGAAAUCAGCAGUCAGUCCAAAGGUUCUUUCACUGAUUAACAAGAUUGCGGACUUUGAAAGGAUGGAGUAAAACUUGGAGUGUCAGAUCUUCCUACAUUGCCUAGCAGAAAUUCUUGACAGUGUCAAAGACUUAAAAUACUUGCUGAUUAUUUGCUUUCAUGGUUGAUUUUUUUUUUUUUUUAAUGCAUCAUCUGUUGUCAAGAUGAAUUAAUCUGUUCACAGGUGGUUCAGUUUUAAGGACAAAUUAAUUCUUAUUUUUUAUUUGUUUACCAAUUUGCUAUAUUGUUGCAGUUUUGAACAAUUCUUUUGUGUGUUGUUGCAGUUAUUAAAUAUAUAUAUAUAUUAUAUACUGUUGCAGUUAUGAAAAAAAACUGAAUUGUAUGUGGUUGCAGUUGUGAUCUAAUUUAAACUUUUGGGCUUAUUUUUUUAUUGGAAUAUUGUUGCAGUUUAGCUAUAAUCUCUAUACUGGUAUAUUGUUGCAGUUUUGUACAAAGAAUAUUAGUAAAUUGCAGUCCUGAACAAACUAUUUGUAUAUUCUUGCAGAUUGGUCAAUAAAUUAUUAAAACACA
This is a long non-coding RNA of Carassius auratus (goldfish), 1205 nucleotides long. RefSeq lists it as uncharacterized. The transcript is spliced from 4 exons. The record is from RefSeq and is a predicted model, not a curated record. Lineage: Eukaryota; Metazoa; Chordata; Actinopteri; Cypriniformes; Cyprinidae.